UCCGUAGGUGGAUAAUUAAGUCAGGGGUGAAAGUCUGCAGCUCAACUGUAUAAUUGCCUUUGAUACUGGUUAUCUUGAAUUAUUAUGAAGUAGUUAGAAUAUGUAGUGUAGCGGUGAAAUGCAUAGAUAUUACAUAGAAUACCAAUUGCGAAGGCAGAUUACUAAUAAUAUAUUGACACUGAUGGACGAAAGCGUGGGGAGCGAACAGGAUUAGAUACCCUGGUAGUCC
Molecule: ribosomal RNA, 229 nt
Filed under: uncultured bacterium
Lineage: Bacteria
Description: partial 16S ribosomal RNA
Rfam family: Bacterial small subunit ribosomal RNA
Source: RNAcentral